GAAUAUUGCACAAUGGGCGCAAGCCUGAUGCAGCCAUGCCGCGUGUAUGAAGAAGGCCUUCGGGUUGUAAAGUACUUUCAGCGGGGAGGAAGGUGUUGAGGUUAAUAACCUCAGCGAUUGACGUUACCCGCAGAAGAAGCACCGGCUAACUCCGUGCCAGCAGCCGCGGUAAUACGGAGGGUGCAAGCGUUAAUCGGAAUUACUGGGCG
Molecule: ribosomal RNA, 209 nt
Filed under: Enterobacter sp. EC_62
Lineage: Bacteria; Pseudomonadati; Pseudomonadota; Gammaproteobacteria; Enterobacterales; Enterobacteriaceae
Description: partial 16S ribosomal RNA
Rfam family: Bacterial small subunit ribosomal RNA
Source: RNAcentral